AUCCAGGCAAUAAGCCUAUUGAUUGGUGCCACAAAUAUCCAGGGUGGGGCUCCCAUUAUCCACACCCAGAACUAUGCUAAUUCCAAUCAGUGGACUAAUUUAGUACCACACACUCUUAAUCCUAGUAUUACAACCCCAGAUCCAGCUAGCUCCAAAAAGCCCCACUUAGGAGUGCAUGAGGCUUUGAGGGGGACAUCUAGAUACACACUGUAAUACACCAGGUACCCAGGGUAGUCGAAUUCACAUAGAUGAGAAGCAGAAUGGUGGUUGCCAAGGCUGGGGGUGGGGAGAAUGGAAAUUCAUUGAUUAAUCAUACACUAUUUCAGUGUGAGCUGAUGGAAAAGUCCCAGAGAUAGAUGGUGGCUGCACAAUGAUAAGGAUAUACCUAAUACCAGUAGAACUGCAUACUUAAAAAGUUAAGAGACUACAUGUUAUGUUGUGUGUGUUUUGUUUCCUUUUUUUUUGGUACAGGGGAUCGAACUUGGGACCUUGUGCUUUUGCAGCAGGCACCGGAAGCACUGAGCUAAAUCCCUGGCCCAGUUGUGUGUGUUUUGCUACCAUCUCUUUGUAUUUUAAAAAGAGAAGGAAAGAAAACCCAGCAUCAGUGACAGAGCUUGCCACUCCCACCUGCCCAAGGGAGCAGCUGCUCCACUGCCCUUCCGGCCAGCACAAGGCACAGCCAACAUCACAGGAAAUAACAAGUCCUUCUGCUUCAGCCCUGCCAGCUGUGCUGCUCCCUGUGGGAAGGCCACACUGUGUCCAUCAGCUCCUGGCUGUGAUGUCUGGCCACCUUCUCUCCCUGCCAGAGCUGCCUGACCCGAGGUCCUUAUGAAGUGGUGACUGCUCCAGCCAGCAGGUGGUGACCCAGGCCACAUUGCUGGGAUUCCCAUCACUUCCUGCCACCUCCUGUCCCUGCUCCCCCAGCAAACCCAGGCUGUGGGCUGUGCAUGUGGGUCCCAAGAGGAAACCCCGCCCAUGUGGUGGCCUGAGCAGAAGCUGUCACUCCAGGGAACAGACAGUGGCUGUGACGCCCUCCUGCUGCCUCGGCUCCCCACAGGAGUGGAAGAUGGUACUCGGCCAGCCGGAGCCUGAGGAGAAGCCUACAGCUGCUGCCUCACGAUGGGGGAGCCCACACCCGAGCCCGCCUACGUCGAUGUGGAUAAGGGCCUGACGCUGGCUUGCUUCGUCUUCCUCUGCCUCUUUCUGGUGGUGAUGAUCAUCCGCUGUGCCAAGGUCAUCAUGGACCCCUACAGCGCCAUCCCCACAUCCACCUGGGAGGAGCAGCACCUGGACGACUGAGGCCUCGAGGUGGUGGGGACCAAGGCCCUGGUGUCUCCUGGACCUGGUCCCCAGUUCACGGCCCACUGAGGCCAGGGAUGGUGUGGGUUCACCUCAGCCCUGCUGGCCACCACACUUAGGAAAUUCCCCGGGGCUGGGGAUGUGGCCACCUGGGAAUCAGGGCACUGAUCCCAGACUCAGCAGGCUGAGCCGAAGCCCAGGCCUGCACCACUGUGACACUGGUGUGUGGUCCCCUUCCCCAGCUCCUGUGUGCCUUUGGGAACUGAGCCCAGGACAGGCACCCCUUACCAGAAGAGGUCUGGAUUCCAGGGACUCUGUCCUUAACAUGCAACAUAGCACAUGGAGGUCCCUGGCAGAGACACCCCCUGAAGCCAUACCACACCCCCAGGGACAGAGUGGAACAGUGAGGGGGAGAGCCACAGGGCACCUCCCCAAAAACUAACAGAGGCACACAGGCUACUUCAAAGCAGUAUUUUUUAAAACCAAGACAUAGAGGGAAUAUAUUUUUCCUAUCAUAAGUGCAACGUGUAUUUUAGAAGCUUGGGGAAAUGCAGAUAAAAAUGAGGAAAAGAGCACCAACAACCCCACCUCCAGAACUCACCAUUUGAUAUAUCUCUUCCAGCCUUUGAUACAUGUAUUUUUUAGCGUAAUCACAUAGUGUUCGUGACGUGACGCCGUACCGCUGCAAACCAGCAGACUCUUUAGGAUUGGGCCCCUGGGGGCUUCCUGACUGUACUUCACUUUUCACUGACUUCUCACACACAAAACCACUUCACCCUGAAACCCUGGGAGGUGCACAGUCUGGAUGAGACCUGGGCUCCAUCCUGCCCUGGCCACUCGGAGGAGGAGUGUGACCUUGAAUGAGUCACCUUGUUCUUGGUGCCUCUGUCUCCUCACUGUACGGUGGGGAGGGAAAGCCUUGCUAGUGUUUUUGUUUGGGGUGGGUUUUGGGGUUUUUUUGGCAUUUUCCUCACAUGACUGAAAAUCCAGGAGAGGGAGUGCUCUAAAUGUAGAUGUGGGGCAAGAAACAAGUCCUCCUCCUCCUCCUCUUCCUCCCUUGCCCACCCCAUCCAUCACCCACACCUGUGACCCCGCAGCAGGAGUUCUGGACCAGCACCCAGAAACCUGCUCCCGUGCCCCAAUUCCUCUGUCUUCUUGUGUGACCUCCAGAUAGCUCAGCUUUCUAUGAACUGGGGGAGGAACAUCUACCUCACACAGUUGCUGUGAAUGAAAUGAGAACAGUGGCAAAUGCAAGGGUCCUUUCUGGGCUCCACAUCCUCAGGAGAAGCUGGGUCCCCAGAGUCCCCUCUCCCUGUGAAGCCUGGAUCCCAUCCAGGACCCUUGGUCAGAAGAUACAGCAACCCUCGGGCACCUGACCUCGAGGGACACGGUGUCCCCCGGCUUAUGUCGUUGCCAUUGUUUUCACAGGCGAUGUGUAGGCCAGAUCAGCAGAGUCCCUCCCUCUGCCUCUUCCCAAGGCAUGGCCUGCAUUCCGUCAGGAGCAGAGGGAAACCUCAGCCUUCCCUCCCAUCACCUGGCCAUGGUACCCAGCCCACCCAGGCCACCUGGGAAAUGGAUUUCCAAAGCACUGUCACUGCUGGGUGACCUCUGAGAACAGACAAGGCCACUGCUGUGCAGGCAGCAUCCAGGUUACCAGGUGUCCCCUCCCUACUGUGUCGGACACACAGAGAGGUGGCAGCAGAGGCAGUGGCCACAAUACGUGGGAGGGGGCAGAGUCUUAAGCAAAGUCAACUGCCCUCGGAACCUACCUCAGAGACGCCAGGCACUUCCGAAAGAAGCCACUGGCACAGGCCACACCCAGAUCACAGCUGACUCCUAGUCAGCUCACGCUGGGUCUGGGAGCAGGACAGGUCUGGUGGAGCUCCCUGGAGCUCUCUAAAGCCCUGGGAGUGACAGCAGGAUGCCCCAGGGCUGUGCCACUCAGACUGUGGCUGGAGGACCACCCUCUGCAACCCUGGGGAGCUUGCGGAACCCAGAAUCCUGCCUACCCCCCAUCUCAAGCACACUCACAUUGGGCUCCCUUGGACCCAAUUAAUUUUUUUCACACCUAGAUUCGCUAAUAUUUCCCAUCUUAUCUCUUGUCACUUUCUUUGGUGGCAAGAGGGAACAGUAACAGUCCAGAAAGGCUAGAAAAUAUAAAAAUCACUCCCAACCCUCCCCCACAACAAAACAAUUUAUUUUGUGCACAUAUUCCCGUCUACUCCUGGUUCACGUCCAAGCUGAAUUUUUCACACAUUCCAUCAGUUGUACAACUUCACAUCAGACUCUCCCAAUGCUACAGCACAUGCGUGUUUCCACAUUGCUGCUGCAGGCUUCAUACUUACUGUUUCCCUGAAAAUAAGACCUGGCCAGAAAAUAAUCAGCCUUGAAAAUGAGAUCAGAAAUGCCAACCCCAAUGAGCCCAUCCCGGCCUUCCCUGCCUUACAGAGCAGCCAAUGAGCAAGAAAAUAGUGAGGGCAGGGAAGGCUAGGAUAAGCUGAUUGGGGCUGGCUUUUCUGAACUCUAGUUUUCAAGGCUGACUUGCAUUUUCUGUUUGGGACUUACUUUGGAGGAAAGAGGGUAGCACUCUUGUGGGACCCAAAAGGUGGUACCUAAUGUGCACACAGCUCUGCACAGCCCUUUUAUUAUACCCUUGGGUUGCUUCCAUUUUCCCACUUACACACCUAAAGACAGCUGGAGCCCGAGGGCUUAUGCAGGAUGGGGGAGAGCUCACCCUUCCUCCUCAGAGACACCUGGAGACAUGCACCUAUCCAAGGUUGACCGUGCAGAGAGAGAAAAACAAGUGAAAUCUCAUGCCUUUGUUGUGAUGUCUGCUGCUAAGGGAGGGAUGUGGUAGUCUUGGGGAUCCAAGUGGCUUGAGCAGUUUCUUCAGCUGUCCCCAAACCCCAGAGAGUAACUCGAUCCCAAAGGGGUUGGUCCUGCUUUCAGACACUCAGUGGAGAGGAGUGCAAAGCCCACUAUGUCCACAAGGGUGACCCGCACCCCUCAGUCUCACUGUUGAAGACUCGUCCUAGCCUGUGAUAACAGCCAUCUGCAAUGCCCUUGGCCCUGUCACUGAGAGGUGCCACACUGAGUCCCUGGAGCACAUUCACAUGCCAGCCACUGUCCAGUUGUAGCACAAAGACAGGGCACCUGUGUCCAGAGGGGCCACCUCACCCGACCAGCCUUCUGCCCUGCACCCUGGUGUCCCUGACCGUCACCCCCUGAGACCCCUCCUGGCAGGGCGCUCCUUGCUCCAUGUCCUCUCAGGAAAGCAGGGUUGGACAGCAUUUAGUGGAAGGAUGUCAUAGAGGUCAACCAAGGUUAAGGGAAGCGGCAGUGUGGGGAGGUGACCUGCCAGAGGACAGUCAUAGUGUGAAGCUGUAACCAAUUGGGACUUGGGUUAGGGUUAGGGUUAGAGUUAAUGCUGCAGCACUGGUGGGGGAGUCACAGGCGGAGAUCAAAACUCCUUCCCCACUGCAACCCACUGGGAGUGGAGUUGGGGAGGCCUCCUCCUGUCCGCCAACCCCUACCUGGGCUGUUCCGUAACCAAACCAGCAGAAGCUAAUGGUGAAUCAACCCCUCACCAUUUGUGAAUCGUGCUCAGAUCAGGGGAGAAAGAUGGCCCCAAAGAGAGAGCACCAAGAAGUUCCAUCAGCCACCAUACAGUCCAGGGUGAUGUCACGUUUGUUCCACACCCUAGAACUCAAAUCGCAGUGCAGCCACACUGAGGUGAGCAGGGAGACAGUGAACAUUAAACUGGCCUCCAAGCUGGCCCAUGUCUGACCACUGAGCCGUGGGGCAUCUCACCUGGCAGCAUGACCCCAAUCUUCCCUCACAGAGGGUCUGAGUUCAUGGUGCUCUGUAUCAAGUGGUCACAGUCUCCCCAUUCCCAAAGAACAUGCAGCAGUCUUGAAGGCCGCUCUGGAAGCACUUUAGAACUCUUGAGGGUAACAGGUGUCUGGGGCAGCAUGACCUAAACUGUGUGGCAUGUACAGACAGCUCAGCAUCUCAAGGAGCCAGAGGAAUCUACAUUCUGCUCCUACCCUGGACUUAGAGAAUGGGAACAUGGGUCAUUGGGGUACCAGGGCCCCAAGAAACCCCUGGGCUCUAGGCACCAUGCUUGUCCCCAUGGUGUAGCAACAGCCUUGUUAUCCCCUGGGUAUUGUGACAAAUCCCCUGACACUACACUGACCCCUUGUCUUCCUGGAGGCUCAACAUAAGGACCCCAAGUGCCCAGGACCAUCUUGGCUUCUAAUUAAACAGACCUGCAACUACCUUCCUUUGUGGAAGCACUUCUUCUUGGCCCCUAAGGAUUUCCAAGCCCACUGAUCCUAUAGUUUUAAGGAUGGAAAACAAGAUCCCCUGAAUGGAUUGCUGAGUAUAACAGUAAAAGGGGUCACUUUCACCCCCAGCCUGUGGUCCCCAGGACAGGGGACCUGGUCGGGGAUAGGAAGCACAUGUGUGGCCUCUGGCUGCAUACAAACACUGCUCUCUCCAGGAUGUGGAGGAAAAGGAAUCCCUUAACACUGUUGGCAGGAAUGGAAAUGAGUGCAGCCACUGUAAAAAACAAUAUGGAGGUCCCUCGGAAAAACUAAAAAGGUAGAACAGAAUCCCUAUGUCCAAAAGAAGUGGAAUCAGUGUUCCAAAGAGACGUGUGCACUCCCAUUUUCCUGCUGCGCUAGUCACAAGGGCCAAAAAACGGAAUUAAACUAAGCAUCUACCAGCUGAUGGGCAGAUGAAGAAAGGGUGCUGCACACAUACAGGGGAGCAGGUUCCAGCCACAGGAAAGGAUGUAAUUUUUUGGGACAGCAUGGAUGGAUCUGGAGGUGGUUAUGCUAAGCAAAAUCAGCC
Molecule: non-coding RNA, 6153 nt
Organism: Heterocephalus glaber (naked mole-rat)
Lineage: Eukaryota; Metazoa; Chordata; Mammalia; Rodentia; Bathyergidae
Source: RefSeq, a predicted model, not a curated record